AACAAGGGAAGGAGCAGGCGCGCAAUUACCCAAUUCUAACAGUUUGAGAGAGGUAGUAACAAGAAAUAACAAUACAAGGCAGUUAAAAUGCUUUGUAAUUGGAAUGAUAGAAAUUUAAACCCUUUUUAAAGUAUCAAUUGGAGGGCAAGUCUGGUGCCAGCAGCCGCGGUAAUUCCAGCUCCAAUAGCGUAUAUUAAAAUUGUUGCAGUUAAAAAGCUCGUAGUUGAAGUUCUGCUGAAAGUAACCGGUCUGCUUUUAAUAAAAGUGGUAUCUUGGUAUGUAUUUAGCAAUGAUGUCCUUUGAAGUGUUUUUUACUUUAUUGUAAUAAAGCAUAUUCAGGACUUUUACUUUGAGAAAAUUAGAGUGUUUCUAGCAGGCUGACGCUUUGAAUACUGCAGCAUGGAAUAAUAAGAUAGGAUUUUAGUUCUACAUUAUUGGUUUUAAGAGCUAAAUUAAUGAUUGAUAGGGACAGUUGGGGGCAUCCGUUAUUUAAA
RNAcentral lists this ribosomal RNA (494 nucleotides) under Hepatozoon canis. Its description in RNAcentral is "SSU rRNA". It matches the Rfam family "Eukaryotic small subunit ribosomal RNA", at positions 414 to 903 of the family's 1831-position model. The record is from RNAcentral. Lineage: Eukaryota; Apicomplexa; Hepatozoidae.